GGGGAUGUGGCUCAGAGGUAGAGUGCUCACCUACCAUGUGUGAGGCACUGGGUUUGAUCCUCAGCACCACA
This 71-nucleotide transfer RNA is filed under the name Marmota monax (woodchuck). Its description in RNAcentral is "tRNA.Gly". It matches the Rfam family "tRNA". From Rfam's summary of the family: Transfer RNA (tRNA) molecules are approximately 80 nucleotides in length. Their secondary structure includes four short double-helical elements and three loops (D, anti-codon, and T loops). Further hydrogen bonds mediate the characteristic L-shaped molecular structure. tRNAs have two regions of fundamental functional importance: the anti-codon, which is responsible for specific mRNA codon recognition, and the 3' end, to which the tRNAs corresponding amino acid is attached (by aminoacyl-tRNA synthetases). tRNAs cope with the degeneracy of the genetic code in two manners: having more than one tRNA (with a specific anti-codon) for a particular amino acid; and 'wobble' base-pairing, i.e. permitting non-standard base-pairing at the 3rd anti-codon position. Lineage: Eukaryota; Metazoa; Chordata; Mammalia; Rodentia; Sciuridae. The record is from RNAcentral.